GGGUGGUUAGCUCAGUGGUAGAGCACUGCCUUCACACGGCAGGGGUCACAGGUUCGAACCCUGUAUCACCCACCA
Molecule: transfer RNA, 75 nt
Filed under: Allofranklinella schreckenbergeri
Lineage: Bacteria; Pseudomonadati; Pseudomonadota; Betaproteobacteria; Burkholderiales; Comamonadaceae
Also listed under: 2 other names
Description: Comamonadaceae bacterium NML970147 tRNA-Val
Rfam family: tRNA
About the family: Transfer RNA (tRNA) molecules are approximately 80 nucleotides in length.
Source: RNAcentral